RNAcentral lists this unclassified non-coding RNA (415 nucleotides) under Hevea brasiliensis (rubber tree). Lineage: Eukaryota; Viridiplantae; Streptophyta; Magnoliopsida; Malpighiales; Euphorbiaceae. The record is from RNAcentral.
UUUCCGUUGAUAGACCAAGAUCUUUGGUCAGAAGCAGAAUUAGCUAAGAAUUCCAGCAUGGAAUUCGCAUCAGACAGUAUGGUAGCAGCAGGAUUUUAUAGCAACUUUCCGAGAAUUGAUGAUGAUAACGAUAUGGAUUUCUGGUACAAUCUUUUUGUUAAAGCUGGGGACACACAGGAAUUACUAUAAUUUUUUUUGGAUGCCAAAUGAUUUUGAACAUCCAGGGGAAUCUUGCAGGCAUUUAUUUGACCGUUACCCUGGAAAACGAGAGUUAUCCAGAGUGGGCCAAAUUUGUCCAAAAGGAAGAAUAAAUAUAGAUAUCAUUCAUUGACGAGCAGAGAUUAUUCUAUGAUUUGUGGGCGUUUUUGAAGGGAAAUGACACACAGAAGAAUUAAAGGAGAAGAGACGAUGAGGC